RNAcentral lists this ribosomal RNA (917 nucleotides) under uncultured Bacillota bacterium. Its description in RNAcentral is "bacterial SSU rRNA". It matches the Rfam family "Bacterial small subunit ribosomal RNA", at positions 1 to 917 of the family's 1533-position model. The record is from RNAcentral. Lineage: Bacteria; Bacillati; Bacillota.
UGGAUCCAGACUUUGAUUAUGGCUCAGGACGAACGCUGGCGGCGCGCCUAACACAUGCAAGUCGAACGGAGAUUACAGGCGGAAGUUUUCGGAUGGAAGCUUGUAAACUUAGUGGCGGACGGGUGAGUAACACGUGAGCGACCUGCCUAUCAGAGGGGGAUGACGAUUGGAAACGAUCGCUAAUACCGCAUGACAUAGCGGAACCGCAUGGUUCUGUUAUCAAAGAUUUUAUCGCUGAUAGAUGGGCUCGCGUCCGAUUAGAUAGUUGGUGGGGUAACGGCCUACCAAGUCGACGAUCGGUAGCCGGACUGAGAGGUCGAACGGCCACAUUGGGACUGAGACACGGCCCAGACUCCUACGGGAGGCAGCAGUGGGGGAUAUUGCACAAUGGGGGAAACCCUGAUGCAGCGACGCCGCGUGAGGGAAGACGGUCCUCUGGAUUGUAAACCUCUGUCUUCGGGGACGAAAGUAGACGGUACCCGAGGAGGAAGCCACGGCUAACUACGUGCCAGCAGCCGCGGUAAUACGUAGGUGGCAAGCGUUGUCCGGAAUUACUGGGUGUAAAGGGAGCGUAGGCGGGCAGGCAAGUCAGGCGUGAAAUAUAUCGGCUCAACCGGUAACGGCGCUUGGAACUGCAGGUCUUGAGUGAAGUAGAGGUUGGCGGAAUUCCUAGUGUAGCGGUGAAAUGCGUAGAUAUUAGGAGGAACACCAGUGGCGAAGGCGGCCAACUGGGCUUUUACUGACGCUGAGGCUCGAAAGUGUGGGGAGCAAACAGGAUUAGAUACCCUGGUAGUCCACACCGUAAACGAUGAUUACUAGGUGUGGGGGGACUGACCCCUUCCGUGCCGGAGUUAACACAAUAAGUAAUCCACCUGGGGAGUACGGCCGCAAGGUUGCAACUCAAAGGAAUUGACGGA